Molecule: ribosomal RNA, 920 nt
Filed under: uncultured bacterium
Lineage: Bacteria
Description: bacterial SSU rRNA
Rfam family: Bacterial small subunit ribosomal RNA
Source: RNAcentral
AGAGUUUGAUCCUGGCUCAGGAUGAACGCUAGCUACAGGCUUAACACAUGCAAGUCGAGGGGAAACGAUAGAGAAAGCUUGCUUUUUCUAGGCGUCGACCGGCGCACGGGUGAGUAACGCGUAUCCAACCUGCCCACCACUUGGGGAUAACCUUGCGAAAGUAAGACUAAUACCCAAUGAUAUCUCAAGAAGACAUCUGAAUGAGAUUAAAGAUUUAUCGGUGAUGGAUGGGGAUGCGUCUGAUUAGCUUGUUGGCGGGGUAACGGCCCACCAAGGCGACGAUCAGUAGGGGUUCUGAGAGGAAGGUCCCCCACAUUGGAACUGAGACACGGUCCAAACUUCUACGGGGGAGCAGCAGUGAGGAAUAUUGGUCAAUGGGCGAGAGCCUGAACCAGCCAAGUAGCGUGCAGGAUGACGGCCCUAUGGGUUGUAAACUGCUUUUAUAAGGGAAUAAAGUGAGCCUCGUGAGGCUUUUUUGCAUGUACCUUAUGAAUAAGGACCGGCUAAUUCCGUGCCAGCAGCCGCGGUAAUACGGAAGGUCCGGGCGUUAUCCGGAUUUAUUGGGUUUAAAGGGAGCGUAGGCCGGAGAUUAAGCGUGUUGUGAAAUGUAGAUGCUCAACAUCUGCACUGCAGCGCGAACUGGUUUCCUUGAGUACGCACAAAGUGGGCGGAAUUCGUGGUGUAGCGGUGAAAUGCUUAGAUAUCACGAAGAACUCCGAUUGCGAAGGCAGCUCACUGGAGCGCAACUGACGCUGAAGCUCGAAAGUGCGGGUAUCGAACAGGAUUAGAUACCCUGGUAGUCCGCACGGUAAACGAUGGAUGCCCGCUGUUGGUCUGAAUAGGUCAGCGGCCAAGCGAAAGCAUUAAGCAUCCCACCUGGGGAGUACGCCGGCAACGGUGAAACUCAAAUGAAUUGACGG